GGGCGUAACUCAGGGGUAGAGUGCUUGCUUCCCAAGCAAGAUGUCGUGGGUUCGAAUCCCAUUGCCC
This 67-nucleotide transfer RNA is filed under the name marine eukaryotic metagenome. It matches the Rfam family "tRNA". Rfam says of the family: Transfer RNA (tRNA) molecules are approximately 80 nucleotides in length. Their secondary structure includes four short double-helical elements and three loops (D, anti-codon, and T loops). The record is from RNAcentral.